AGAAUGAUAUUUGCUAUGAUGUUUUGAGUUAUCCAACAUUGACAGAGCAGCACUGAAGUUACAAUAUGAAAUUUGUCAGACUAAUCCUGCCCUAUUGGAACUGUAUAACAUAAGCAAGAUUCCUGUUUUAUCAUUGAAAUGGAGUUACUAACCCUAGCUUAGUGGUCAAAGCCUUAAAGGUCCCAUCUCCCUACAUACAGGACCUUCUCAGGACCUAUUUACUCUUCGUAUUAUCUAUCAGUUAUUUUUCAUUGGCAAAAGAGACUGCAGUACGAAACAAUAGAAAAGAAUGCAGGAGGACUUCUACCUACAAUAUUUGAAAUUGUCAUAAACCUACUAAGUUUAUGAAAAGCUGGUGAGAUGCUGUUUGUUGCAUGUACAAGUGAUUCGUUAGUGGCUUCUAAAGAAAGAUAAAUUUGGAGUUUCAGUUGGGUAAAUACAGAUUAGUCCGUCAGCUGGGGGCUUAAUUCUUUUAACUUCUGAGAAUAUACACAUUAAUUACCAGUAGCGUGUUUCUUGGUUAGCUUGAUUUGACAAAGAAGUCGAACAGAGAAUUUUUAGUGUUGGUGUCAAACAGUCAUGAUAAACUAAUUACCUCCAACAUUUUUCUCAAGUGUUUCUAAAACACGAGGGGAUUGAUUUGAAAUUUAUAUCCAUAACUUCUCCAUAUAAGUACCUGAGUGGAACAGUUUGCCUUCCAAGGCUAACUACAAGUUUGUCUCACAAUUAAAAUGAGGACCAAAGAGUUCUAAAAAUUGGAUUUUAUUGAUUUUUUUCUGUACUAAUUGAAAGAGGUAUUCUUUUUAUCAAUAACUAGUCUUUUGGAGAGAGUCAAGUUUUCAGUACUACAUUAUUUCAGAUGAGCAGUUGAGGAUUAUUAAGUGUGCUGAUUUAUUUCUGUGCUUUUUCUUUUAGGUCAUAUUGCCUACAACACAUAUAUAAAGUUUAAGUUGUUAUUACCUAAGAAGAAGAUCAACUAUUAUAUGAACAUUCAGCCAUGGUAGUCAGGAUGCCCUUCAAUUAGCCAAUUCAAGAAGGAUCGAGUUUAUUGUAAAAUAAACAAUUUGAUCCAGUUGAAUAUCUACUAAUUCGUAGAAAUAACAUACAAGUUCCUGAAACAGGAAACCUCUAGAAGUGAUGAGCAAAACCAAAACAAAUUUUCUUUUGUCAUCAAAGAUUGCAUGAAAUAAUCUUUACAUGAAGAUGGUAACCUUGAUUCGAUUCUUAAGUGACAACCUUUGCGUUUUGAAGAAAAUUGGCAGUGAUCUGGUGAAGUUAUUUUGUUAACGCAUACUUCAUACAAAAUCUGUAGAUCAGGGGCGUACUAAUACUAAAUCUAAUAUGUAACAUGUAUUUGUACUUCUUAGGGACACUGUGUUCCUGACCGAUCUUUAUGGAAUAAAUGAUAACAUCUCCUUUUCACAGAGUUGUUUCAGGUAUGAUCUCUGAUCAAGCCGUUGCUUCUUUUGAAGUUUUUUCACAUACAUGAAAGAAAGCUUGACUACUAUAAUAAGCUAUGGAAAUAACUGCUGCAGCUAAUGAAAUGAUGAAUCGCACAAAAUGAAGUAUCAUGCUCACAUAAAGUAAAAAUAAGGAUUGUGCUGCUGACAAGGAGAAAUUGCCAGAAGAAUAUACUUUUUACUUGAUAUACCAGGGUUGUUAUAAACUAAGUUGCGCAGACUCUUCAUUUACUAUGUUGCACCCAUGUUUGAUUCUCCAAAAAUACACUACUUUUGGAGAUCCGACACACAUUCGUUGACAUCUAGGUUAAGAAUUUAUUUUUGGUCCUAAUAUUUUAUUUAAAGCCUUCCUAACAUUCCUUAGA
This is a long non-coding RNA of Solanum pennellii, 1825 nucleotides long. RefSeq lists it as uncharacterized. The transcript has 2 exons. The record is from RefSeq and is a predicted model, not a curated record. Lineage: Eukaryota; Viridiplantae; Streptophyta; Magnoliopsida; Solanales; Solanaceae.